This is a non-coding RNA of Ameiurus melas (black bullhead), 72 nucleotides long. Lineage: Eukaryota; Metazoa; Chordata; Actinopteri; Siluriformes; Ictaluridae. The record is from the annotation of a GenBank genome assembly.
ACCAUAUUGGUUUAGCGGUUAGCACGUUCGCCUCACACCUCCAGGGUCGGGGGUUCGAGUCCCGCCAUGGCC